RNAcentral lists this ribosomal RNA (253 nucleotides) under uncultured bacterium. RNAcentral describes it as "partial 16S ribosomal RNA". It matches the Rfam family "Bacterial small subunit ribosomal RNA", at positions 524 to 776 of the family's 1533-position model. The record is from RNAcentral.
UACGAAGGGGGCAAGCGUUGUUCGGAAUUACUGGGCGUAAAGCGCAUGUAGGCGGUCCUACAAGCCAGGGGUGAAAUCCCAGAGCUCAACUCUGGAAUUGCCUUUGGAACUGUAGGACUGGAGUCUCGGAGGGGAUGGUGGAAUUCCAAGUGUAGAGGUGAAAUUCGUAGAUAUUUGGAGGAACACCGGUGGCGAAGGCGACCAUCUGGACGAGUACUGACGCUGAGAUGCGAAAGCGUGGGGAGCAAACAGG